UACGUAGGGGGCUAGCGUUGUCCGGAUUUAUUGGGCGUAAAGAGCGUGUAGGCAGCCAGGUAGGUCUGCUGUGAAAACUCGAGGCUCAACCUCGAGACGCCGAUGGAAACCAUCUGACUAGAGUCCGGAAGAGGAGAGUGGAAUUCCUGGUGUAGCGGUGAAAUGCGCAGAUAUCAGGAAGAACACCCGUGGCUAAGGCGGCUCUCUAGUACGGUACUGACGCUGAGACGCGAAAGCGUGGGGAGCGAACAGG
RNAcentral lists this ribosomal RNA (253 nucleotides) under uncultured bacterium. Its description in RNAcentral is "partial 16S ribosomal RNA". It matches the Rfam family "Bacterial small subunit ribosomal RNA", at positions 524 to 776 of the family's 1533-position model. The record is from RNAcentral.